ACUUUAAUCUAUUCGCCACCCAACAAGCCUCACUCCCCCGGGGCUAUUUUAGAUAAGGGGGCGUUUGACACCAGUGUAGGUGAAGAACUCUCCCCGCUGUGCUCCAUUUGGUGCCGUCCUUCACCUCGGCCACUGACCGGACGGCCAUCGACCCGCACAGCUCCUCACAGACGGCCAACAAAUGCUGCCACAAAUGGAUCUAAUUGGCACCUCUGCAUGCCCCGUUCAGAGGAGGGCAGAGAUCAGGUGGGCAGACGCGGGACUGAGAGAAACAGGAGAAAAUUUUGGAUACGCACACAUUUACAGUGCCGCCCACUAAUAUUGGCACCCUUGGUAAAUAUGAGCAAAGGUGGCUGUGAAAAUAAAUCUGCAUUGUUUAUCCUUUUGAUCUUUCAUUCCAAAAAUGUCCUAAAUUCUAACUUUUAAUUGAAGUAAAACAAUGGAAAGUGGGGGUAAAAACUCAUUAUGAAAUAAAUGUUUUACUAUAGUUCACAUUAGUCACAGUUAUGGGCACCCAAUUAUCGCAAUGUCCUUUUCUCAAGGUAAGAUCUCUCUGAGUUUUCUAGUAUAAUGCCUGAAGAGUUUGUAGGACACUUGACGAGAUCAUAGACCAUUCCUUCAUCCAGAAUCUCUCCAGAUCCUUCAGAUUCACAGCUUCUUCUCUUCAGCUCACUUCACUCAUUUUCUACAGGGUUCAGGUCAGAGGACUGGGAUGGUCAUGGCAGAAGCUUGGUUUUGUGCUCAGUGACACACUUUUUGUGUUGAUUUUGAUGUUUGUUUUGGAUCAUUGUCCUAAAGGAAGAUCCAAACAUGGUCCAUUAUAAGAUUUCUAACAGAGGCAGUCAGGUUUCGAUAUUUUAUCUUUUGGUAUUUGAUAGAAUCCAUGAUGCCAUGCAUCUGAACGAGACGUCCAGGACCGCCGGCAGAACAACAGGCCCACAAUAUUAAAGAUCCAGCA
This is a long non-coding RNA of Cyprinus carpio carpio, 958 nucleotides long. NCBI's taxonomy places the organism in Eukaryota, Metazoa, Chordata, Actinopteri, Cypriniformes, Cyprinidae. The record is from Ensembl.